This 253-nucleotide ribosomal RNA is filed under the name uncultured bacterium. Its description in RNAcentral is "partial 16S ribosomal RNA". It matches the Rfam family "Bacterial small subunit ribosomal RNA", at positions 524 to 776 of the family's 1533-position model. The record is from RNAcentral.
UACGUAGGUGGCAAGCGUUGUCCGGAUUUAUUGGGUUUAAAGGGUGCGUAGGCGGUCCUUUAAGUCAGUGCUGAAAUCCUCUAGCUUAACUAGAGGGGUGGCAUUGAUACUGGAGGACUUGAAUGAAGUCGAGGUAGGCGGAAUUGACGGUGUAGCGGUGAAAUGCUUAGAUAUCGUCAAGAACACCGAUAGUGAAGACAGCUUACUAGGCUUAGAUUGACGCUGAGGCACGAAAGUGUGGGGAUCAAACAGG